UGUAGCCACCUCGCUCCGCAGACGUUCUCACGCACCGUCCGCAGGCGAAGUGACACAUU
RNAcentral lists this microRNA precursor (59 nucleotides) under Octopus vulgaris (common octopus). Its description in RNAcentral is "Ovu-Mir-12575_pre stem-loop". Lineage: Eukaryota; Metazoa; Mollusca; Cephalopoda; Octopoda; Octopodidae. The record is from RNAcentral.